Molecule: small nucleolar RNA, 272 nt
Organism: Saccharomycodes ludwigii
Lineage: Eukaryota; Fungi; Ascomycota; Saccharomycetes; Saccharomycodales; Saccharomycodaceae
Source: RefSeq, a predicted model, not a curated record
AACGCAUUUUCACCACCCUUUCGCAAUACGCCAAAAGCAUCAUAGUUGCAGGUUAAGUUAUUUAAAUAACAGACCCAUGACAAUUAUAUUUUAAGAUAUUAGUGUUGCCUUGCGACUUUGUCGUAGUGUUUGCUCGGGUUGGAGAACAUAUUUAUCCAUGGAUCUUGGGUGCAAUGAACUAUCAUUAAUUAUCUUAUUUUAUAAGAUGAUUGCAGAGAGGAUGCCUUCGUGCUCUUCGUAUGUAGUUAAUUGCAAGGAUCGAUGGAACAUUA